GGUCCCUCAUUCCACUUGGUUGACUAGUUCUUAGUCAAACUAAAGUAACAGCCACCUCUUUGUGGGAGAAGAGAUGUGUUUUUAUAAUUUGCUUAAUUAGGAUCAUGGCUUGAGGUUGAUUAUCCUGAAACCCGGGAUGGAUUUCAGAGGGUUUCCAGCAUGCAGGCUUCCACUUGCUUCCAAGAAGGGCAGCUGGGGCUCUGGGCUGCUAGCAGGGCUUGGGAUUGGCUGCGAGGGGCCAGUGGAGGAGAGGAGGAAGCGGACAGUGCUCGGCUAACACUCAGGAGGAGAUGCUGCCUGAAGACCAAAGAAAUAUAUAGAUUUGAGG
Molecule: long non-coding RNA, 328 nt
Organism: Neogale vison (American mink)
Lineage: Eukaryota; Metazoa; Chordata; Mammalia; Carnivora; Mustelidae
Exons: 3
Source: RefSeq, a predicted model, not a curated record